AGAGUUUGAUCCUGGCUCAGAAUGAACGUUGGCGGCGUGGAUUAGGCAUGCAAGUCGAGCGAGAAGCCUCCCUUCGGGGGGGCGGACAGCGGCGAAAGGGAGAGUAAUGCGUGGAUACCUACCCCGGGAUCUGGGAUAGCUGCGGGAAACUGCAGGUAAUACCGGAUAAUGUCUUCGGACCAAAGGUGUGAUUCCGUCUUGGGAUGGGUCCACGUCCUACUAGCUUGUUGGUGGGGUAACGGCCUACCAAGGCUUCGAUGGGUACCGGGUGUGAGAGCGUGGCCCGGCUCACUGGGACUGAGACACUGCCCAGACACCUACGGGUGGCUGCAGUCCGAGAAUCUUCGGCAAUGGACGCAAGUCUGACCGAGCGACGCCGCGUGCGGGAUGAAAGGCCUUCGGGUUGUAAACCGCUGUCAGAGGGGAUGAAAUGCAUGGGGGCUAUCCUUCAUGUUUGACCUAUCCUCCGAGGAAGGACGGGCUAAGUU
Molecule: ribosomal RNA, 488 nt
Filed under: uncultured Planctomycetota bacterium
Lineage: Bacteria; Pseudomonadati; Planctomycetota
Description: bacterial SSU rRNA
Rfam family: Bacterial small subunit ribosomal RNA
Source: RNAcentral